This 1150-nucleotide long non-coding RNA is filed under the name Homo sapiens (human). RNAcentral describes it as "HSALNT0141125". The record is from RNAcentral. Lineage: Eukaryota; Metazoa; Chordata; Mammalia; Primates; Hominidae.
AUAACAGCACUUUGGAGGCUGAGGCAGGAGGAUUGCUUGAGGCCAGGAGUUUGAGACCAGUUUGGGCAAUACAGAGAGACCCUGUCUCUACAAAAAAAAAUUAAAAAUUAGCCAGGCACGGUGGCACGCGCUUGUAGUCACAGCUACUCAGAGGGCUGAGGUGGGAGGAUAGCUUGGGCCCAGGAGGUUGAGGCUGCAGUGAGCCAUGAUUGCUCCACUACACACCAGCCUAGGCGACAGAGCGAGACCUUGUCUCAAAAGAUAAAAGUAAAAAUAAAAGUAUCACUUGGAGUUAUUGGUUAAUUUGAAAGGGACUUUAGGGAGAAAUGUACCUGGCUUCUAGAGUCCUAGUGCACAGCCAGCUUUCUUGUGGAUGCCUGUCCUGAGGUCUGCUGGGCUGGCGCUCGUUCAUAGGCGUCACAUGGAUCUGGGCUUUUCUGACCUCCACCGGGGCUUUAGUCUUUCCAGCCCAUGAUCAGAGUGUUACAUCUAUCUUCACAGGCUUAUUCAUGGUCCCAGGAUUUUGUCGUAACUUAAGUCUUUGAGAAUGAAGAGAGCUCAUCUUUGGGAUGUUUUGGUAUGAUCUGGUUGCCCUGAGACCACAGCUGCAUUGACCUGGAAUACAGUCAGCUUUAUGUAAGAAAAACCCAGCUGCAGUGGCUUAACCAAAUAGGAAUGAAUUUUUCUGCAAAGACAAGAGUCAGGGUUUUCAAAUUGCAUAAAUGGUGGCUCCUCGGGUCUCCAGGGACCCGGUCUCCUCCUGUCUGUUCAUCCUCCAGUUGCUUCAUUGCGGCAGAGUGUUCGUUCUAUCUCUAGGUAUCUGGAAAUUUCUGGACCCAUUACCAAGGAUUCUCACAGGAUAGGUCCGGAUGGAACCCAGGAAACUGCAUUUCAACUGGGUAAUCUAGGUGCUUCUGAUGUGUGUUGUCUGAGAAAAAGUGCCCUAAGUGUAAACUCUGUUAACAUAAGGCAGCAAAACACAGUGGUUAAGAGCCUUGACUCCAGAGCAGCCCAUCUGACUCUGCCACUGGCUGUGUAAUCUUGGACAAGUUUCUUAACCACUCUAGGGCUUUGCUUCCUCAUUUUUAAAGUGAGGGUGAUAAUAGCACUGACUUUAUAGGGUUAUACCAAGUAUUAAAUGUAUUAAUAC